UGGGGAAUAUUGCACAAUGGGCGAAAGCCUGAUGCAGCAACGCCGCGUGAGUGAUGAAGGCCUUCGGGUUGUAAAGCUCUGUCUUUUGGGACGAUAAUGACGGUACCAAAGGAGGAAGCCACGGCUAACUACGUGCCAGCAGCCGCGGUAAUACGUAGGUGGCGAGCGUUGUCCGGAUUUACUGGGCGUAAAGGAUGCGUAGGCGGAUUUUUAAGUGAGAUGUGAAAACCCUAAGCUUAACUUGGGGACUGCAUUUCAUACUGGAAAUCUAGAGUGCGGGAGAGGAGAAUGGAAUUCCUAGUGUAGCGGUGAAAUGCGUAGAGAUUAGGAAGAACACCAGUGGCGAAGGCGAUUCUCUGGACCGUAACUGACGCUGAGGCAUGAAAGCGUGGGUAGCAAACAGGAUUAGAUACCCUGGUAGUCCACGCCGUAAACGAUGAGUACUAGGUGUAGGAGGUAUCGACCCCUUCUGUGCCGCAGUUAACACAAUAAGUACUCCGCCUGGGAAGUACGAUCGCAAGAUU
This 524-nucleotide ribosomal RNA is filed under the name uncultured bacterium. Its description in RNAcentral is "partial 16S ribosomal RNA". It matches the Rfam family "Bacterial small subunit ribosomal RNA", at positions 355 to 895 of the family's 1533-position model. The record is from RNAcentral.